RNAcentral lists this ribosomal RNA (1260 nucleotides) under Triticum aestivum (bread wheat). RNAcentral describes it as "partial small subunit ribosomal RNA". The record is from RNAcentral. Lineage: Eukaryota; Viridiplantae; Streptophyta; Magnoliopsida; Poales; Poaceae.
AUGACCACACCAAGCUCGCACUUCCAUUCCACGCUGCUGCUGCCAGUACUCCUGCUCCAGAUAUCUGUUGUGGCUGAUCACAUGAUCCUGGGUGCCUCUGCCGAACAGCAACAGCCGCCGAUGAUCGCCCGUCGGGGUUGUCGCGACAAGUGCGGCAACAUCAGCAUCCCCUUCCCUUUCGGAAUCGGGCAUGGCUGCUUCCACGAGGGUUUCGAGGUACACUGCAAGGACUCCGCUCGUCCCCCUCGCGCCUUCCUAGCAAGUGCUUUCCUUGGAACCCACCAGUGGGAAGGCUCCACCACCGAGCUCCACCUCCAUGGCGACCCGCUCACUCUUAACAGGUCGUUGCCGUCGAUGCUGCCGCUCGAGCUCGUAAGCAUAUCAGUUGCAACGAGCGAGGCGCGGGCAUACGGCGGGGUCUCAUACCUGUGCACCACCGAUGAGACCAGAGGGUUGUUCAAGUUUUACACGAUGCCUCUCUACUUCACACCGUUUGGUGUGUCGGCGAUGCGUAAUGCUCUCGUCGGUGUCGGCUGGAGAGCCGAACCAUAUCUAGCCAUCCAUGAUUCAAAGAAUGCGGCCUACGACCACUUCUUCUGCCGUUCAGACAUCCUGGAGGUGGAUUUCCUUGGGCACGUGAGAAAUGGGUCGUGCACAGGGCAGGGCUGCUGUGAGACACCAUUUCCCCCGGCAUACAGAUCCGUCCAAUUUGCCCAAAUGAAGAUCUUGGUCGAAAACAACAGCAUGUGGAGUAUCAUGCCAUGCUCAUACGGCAUGUUGGUGGAGAAGUCAUGGUACAACUUCUCGACGCCAGACAUGUACGGCGACAGGGUGCUUGCCAAAAGAUUCCCCCGGGGCGUCCCCUUUGUGCUCGAUUUCGCAAUCGGGAAAGCUUCGUGUCCGGCGGAAGGCCAGCAGCCGCCUUCGGACUAUGCAUGUGUCAGCGGCAACAGCUCUUGCGCCAAUGCAACCAUUGGCUAUGUGUGCAGGUGCUGGAAGAAUUACGAGGGCAACCCUUACAUGAACAACGGAUGCCAAGACAUCGAUGAAUGCAAGCUUCCCGAGUUGUAUCCCUGCUCGAGUGACGGGAUCUGCAAAAACAUGCCAGGAGGCUACAAUUGUCCGUGCAGAUUUGGAAUGAAAGGCGACGGCAAAGCAGGAACGUGCACAAGCAUAUUCCCCCUAGCAGCAAGGGUGGCCGUUGGUAAGUAUACUAAGGUACCGCACCUAGUAAAUUACAGACAUCACUUUUUGUUCUGA